Molecule: non-coding RNA, 28 nt
Filed under: Mus musculus (house mouse)
Lineage: Eukaryota; Metazoa; Chordata; Mammalia; Rodentia; Muridae
Source: RNAcentral
UAUAAUUAAGUGUUCCNCCCUAGAGCCC